RNAcentral lists this ribosomal RNA (253 nucleotides) under uncultured bacterium. RNAcentral describes it as "partial 16S ribosomal RNA". It matches the Rfam family "Bacterial small subunit ribosomal RNA", at positions 524 to 776 of the family's 1533-position model. The record is from RNAcentral.
UACGUAGGGUGCGAGCGUUAAUCGGAAUUACUGGGCGUAAAGCGUGCGCAGGCGGUUUUGUAAGACAGAUGUGAAAUCCCCGGGCUUAACCUGGGAACUGCGUUUGUGACUGCAAGACUUGAGUGCAGCAGAGGGGGGUGGAAUUCCACGUGUAGCAGUGAAAUGCGUAGAGAUGUGGAGGAACACCGAUGGCGAAGGCAGCCCCCUGGGUUGACACUGACGCUCAUGCACGAAAGCGUGGGUAGCAAACAGG